CCACUAAGCAGAAGAGAUUACUGUGAUCAAGAAGUUGGUUGACCCAGUGUGGGGCUCAGCCAUUCCACUCUGGCUGGGCUGACUCCUUUUGAAUUUUCCAAAUGUGUGAAUCUCGAAUGCAAAAUUUAUGGUAGUGGUCGUUUGCAAAUUAUGGUAGUGGUCG
Molecule: small nuclear RNA, 163 nt
Organism: Salvelinus namaycush (lake trout)
Lineage: Eukaryota; Metazoa; Chordata; Actinopteri; Salmoniformes; Salmonidae
Product: U1 spliceosomal RNA
Exons: 1
Source: RefSeq, a predicted model, not a curated record